Molecule: long non-coding RNA, 2340 nt
Organism: Herpailurus yagouaroundi (jaguarundi)
Lineage: Eukaryota; Metazoa; Chordata; Mammalia; Carnivora; Felidae
Exons: 3
Source: RefSeq, a predicted model, not a curated record
GCCUGCAGAGAGCUGCUGAGCUCACCACAGCAUGCUCAUCUUGCUCUGGAAUGGGGAAAUAGCACUUCCUGACCUAAGACUCAUGUUUGAAAACUCCCAUCAGAAGGAAAACUCAAGGAGAAGCAAUCAUUUCGGGACAGCCAAGUCCAUGUCAGAUGUGGAGGAUCCAAAGAGUAGGACAUGCUCCCUCGGCUGCUCAUAGUUCCCAAGGAAAUGAAGAAGGAGCUAAUGGUUCUGUCUGGGAAAGCCAGGAAAUGUUUCACAGAAGCUGUGACAUUUGACAUGGAUCAUACAAGAUGAGGAGGAGUGUACAGGGUGAAGAGCCAAAGAUAUUUUCUCGAUGAGAAAACUGAAGCCCGGCAGGAUUGGAUAACUUAUCUAAAGUCCUGCAACGAGUAAGUGAAAAACAGAAUGCAAAAUCGACCUCUUCCUGUGACACGGGAUUGCGCCUUUUCCUCUGUGUCAGCUCUUGGAGUUGUCGUUCUCCGUCACAACUAGGCUGUGACCAGAGGCCGCCUGGACCCAGGUCCCGGCCUCUACACAACCUCUGCAGUGCCCCAAGCCUGACUCUGCCACCGGGUGUGGCCGCUGCCCUUUCUCCACAGUGCUGAAAACAUACUCUUAAAAUCCUGGCCUGAAAUCAUUCAGCGAAUUGUGAGUCAUCCAGCAACAGAAUACUAUGGAGCCCUUAAAAAGUAUAUUUAGAGGGUUUUUAUGGCCAUGAAAAGAAAUGCUUGUAUAUAAAACUAAUAAUAAUAGACAAAUACCUGUAUUCAUAGCAUGAGAUCACCAAUAGAAAAAAAAAAAAUUUCCUAGAGGAAAAGCCAGAAAGGAAAGUCACCAAAUGCUAACAGUGGUUAUUUCUAGAUGAUGGACUUACGGGUGCCUAUUUCUCCUUCUUUUGACUUUUCCAUAUCUCACAAUUUUCCACAAUAGACAUGCAUGGCUCUACAAUGGGGAGAGGAGGAGGGUAGAAUAUUUAGCACCUGACUGUGGCUUGAGAACUGUGUGACAUCCUUUUCCCAGGCACUUCCAAGACCCAGGCUGGAGCGGCUCCAUGUGCGGAGCCUGCCAGAGCCUCCCAGCAGGCAGCUGCGCCUGGGAAAACAGGCCCUUCCGCGGGGGUGGGCAUCUGGGUUUGAUUUCUCCACCCUCCUGUUCUCCUUUCUCGCUUCACCUGAAUAUCCCCUGCAGAAGGCACAGGCUGCAGCCUGAAUCCAGCCCGUCCCUCCCCAGCCGGUCUGCAUCUUCAGCUCUGCAGCCCCAAACCAGACACCCUGCCCUGACUGCCCAAGACGAGAGCCUGCCGGGUGACAACUUCUAUUCUGGGGGCCUCAGAAAACUCCCCUAGCCCUGUGUCGCUAUGUGUGCAGACUUCUCAUAAGACAGUAAGAACCAGAAAGGCACCCAGGAACCCAGAAUGUAAAAGGAACUAUCGCCUCCCUCUCAUUGCUGUCACCCAGGACCACAUAGGAGGCUUCAGCAACUGCUUCUGUCCACGCCCUUCUUCCUUUGACGUGCAUUUAAUCAGGGCUUCCUGAGGAGGAAGUUGAGUAGUCCCUGCCUGGAGGGGUCAGGUCCACUGGGAGAGACUCCAGACAACACCCUGGAUUAGCAGGAGGGUCGAUGCCACUUCCAGGGGGUGGCUGGGUGAGCGGCAGAUCCUAUGUCUGGGAAAGGCUGGCCAGGAACAGGGGGUCCGGGCUGGAUGCCUGAUAGAUGAGGGGUGAUCAGACAGAAGAGAGCUAGGUGAGCGUUUUGUGCAAAGGCAGCGGCAUGAGCAAAGGAGCAGACACACAAAUGAGAGCGUGUGAGGCGUCUGGCAGGAGGUAAGGUGGUUAGAACUGCACUGUCAGUCCUGCCUGCAGAGCCGAGGAGGUAGGAGCUCCUUCUGGCAGAGGAGCCAGGAGCAGACCUGCCGUUAGAUGGGAGACUGUAGCCACACAGGAGACAGAGCCAAAGCAGGACAUCCAUGGAGCAAGGAGGGGGAAGGGGUGGCAGGCCUUCUACCGCCCUGCCCCCUACGCUGCCCUGGAAAUCCAGCCUGGAAUAAGAGCCACAUAUUUAUUCAGCUCUGGUCUUUAAACGAGGAACCUCAGCCUUUCACAGUCCUCCCAUGCCUGCAGCCUUGCCAUUGGGAACCAGAGAAGGUUACUCCCAUCCCUGGAGGCCCUAGCCUGUGACUAUGAACCUGGAAGAAGCUGGCAGUCUUAUUUGUCAGACAGACUAUAGAGGGAGCUCUUCUGCAAGAAAUGAGGCAAAGCUGUAGUAAUCAAAACAGUAUGGUACGGGCACAAAAAUAGACAUAAAGAUCAAUAGAACAGAAUAGAAAACCCAGAA